This 549-nucleotide ribosomal RNA is filed under the name uncultured Acaulospora. RNAcentral's name for it is "SSU rRNA". It matches the Rfam family "Eukaryotic small subunit ribosomal RNA", at positions 548 to 1098 of the family's 1831-position model. The record is from RNAcentral. Lineage: Eukaryota; Fungi; Glomeromycota; Glomeromycetes; Diversisporales; Acaulosporaceae.
UUGGAGGGCAAGUCUGGUGCCAGCAGCCGCGGUAAUUCCAGCUCCAAUAGCGUAUAUUAAGUUGUUGCAGUUAAAAAGCUCGUAGUUGAAUUUCGGGGUUCAUACGUUGGUCGGGCUUUUGGGUCUGCACUAGCGUAAUGGAUUCCUACCUUCUGAAUAACCGGCAUGCCAUUAAUUUGGUGCGCCGGGGAAGCAGGACUGUUACCUUGAAAAAAUUAGAGUGCUUAAAGCAGGCUAUCGCCUGAAUACAUUAGCAUGGAAUAAUGAAAUAGGACGUUUGAUCCUAUUUUGUUGGUUUCUAGGAUUGACGUAAUGAUUAAUAGGGAUAGUUGGGGGCAUUAGUAUUCAAUUGUCAGAGGUGAAAUUCUUGGAUUUAUUGAAGACUAACUACUGCGAAAGCAUUUGCCAAGGAUGUUUUCAUUAAUCAAGAACGAAAGUUAGGGGAUCGAAGACGAUCAGAUACCGUCGUAGUCUUAACCAUAAACUAUGCCGACUAGGGAUCGGAUGAUGUUAAUUUUUUAAUGACUCAUUCGGCGCCUUACGGGAAAC